Molecule: long non-coding RNA, 2850 nt
Organism: Amphibalanus amphitrite
Lineage: Eukaryota; Metazoa; Arthropoda; Thecostraca; Balanomorpha; Balanidae
Exons: 3
Source: RefSeq, a predicted model, not a curated record
AUGCAUUCACUAAAUCUGUAGAAAGCGAGUUCUGGAAGUGAGUUAUGAGUAAAUAAAAUCACAAAUCGUGCGUAAAAAGCGUACUCACAGCCGACCGGUUAUCAAACUCGUUUUCGACGUGUUUCUUUACCGAUGGAUCAUAGGCCGCCUCGCCGCCAUUUUCGUUCCGGCCGGAUCCGUGUGUGCAGGGGGAGUCGCGUGCUGCUAAUAAGGGUCCCAGCACCUCUGUCGAUGCGGAGGUCACGGCCGCCACCGCCGACCCCGGCGAGGGCACCAGCGCGAGCGGGCCGCCGGCGAUGGACAUUGAGGAGAGCUGGCUCGUUAUCGACAAUGCAGUCGACCACCUGCUGCACCACGCUGGCGAGCACGGAGCUGCUCUACGUGGAGAAUGAGGCGGUUGUCGAGUUCAAAGAGCUAACCUCGGCGGUCGACUUAAGUGACCAGCUGCCGGGACAGAGACUGACCGGCAGAGUUCUGUUGGUGCCUCAUACUUUUCUCUGUUUGUUUCUGUUUUCUGUUCCGCAAGUUUUUGUCAUUAUAACUAGUUGCAGUUUAAGUAGCUUGUUGCAGUUCGUUUAUAUUUUGUUGCAGGGUGUCCCGCCCUUAACCGUAAAGAGACGUGAAACGUUGGACGCUAAUGAAUGAGAUACGAGAUAGGAUACGAAAUAAUAUAAUCGCACACAAAGCUGUGAAAUAGAAAGCUGCUUGUAUACAGGGGCGUAGGCAGGGGGGGGCCACUGGGCCAUGGCCCCCCCCUUGGGCGCCGAAUGCGCCCUUUGCGAUUGGAGGGCGCCGAAGGCGCCCUCCAAUCGCAAAUGCAAUUGUGAUAUAAUCGUUUGUUAGUGAUCGAAUCGAAAAACAAUCGCGACUGGAGGGCGCCCUCCAAUCGCGAAUGUGUUUACAGGGAAAAUAUGGAUGGAGGGCGCCCUCGGAGGACGCCCAUUCCAAAUACGCCCUCCAAAUACGGUUGGAGGGCUCCCUCGGGCGCCCUCCAACCACAUUUGUAGGCUGUAGCUCUCUAAGCGUAACGGUGGUCGCCUAUGUAAGCCGCUGUCCUGUAAAUAAGCGCCCUCUCACCCGAAGGCGCCCUCCUGUAGGUCGCCACCCUGCUACACAUUGCCGCCCUUCUGCUGAUCGGCGUCCUCAUAAUUAUUGGCGCUCUCCUACCUAUUGCGCCCUCAUGUGAAAUUUUGAAGGCCGCCUUUCUCCCUUUUGGCACCCUCUUGUUCAGUGCCGCCCUCCUACCUAUUGGUUCCCUAGUCCUUCCUGUUGAAUGUUAAUCGGGGUCCUUCUCCUAUUGGCGCCCUCGUGUAGAUCGCCGCCCUCCUAACCACUGGCACCCUCCUGUUGAUCACCGCCCUCCUAUCCACUGGCACCUUCCUGUUGACCAGCGCCCUCCGCACAGACGCCCUCCUGUUCGUGUCAUCCUCUUGAGCAAAGGCGCCCUCCUCACCAUUGCCACCCCCAUUUUAAUCGUCACCCUUCCGCUCAUUGGCGACUUCCAGUUGAUGACCGCCAUCCCACCUAUUGGCGACCUCUUGUUGAUCGCCACCCUCCUAUUGGUGCUCUCCUGUUCCUCGCCACCCUCUUACCUGGUGGCGCCCUCCUGUUGAUUGUUGAUCGGCGCCCUCCUACCUAUUGGUGCCCUCCUGUUGAUCGCUGCCCUUCUAUCCAUUGGCGCCCUCCUGCUACUCGCCAACAUCCUACCUAUCGGUGCCCUACUGUCGAAACUCGGGAUGUUGAUCGGGACUCUUCUACCUAUUAGUGCCCUCCUGUGGAUCGCAGCCCUUCUACCUAUUGGCAACAUCCGUUGAUCGCUGCCCUCCUAUCAUUUAUUUACUCCUUUGGCAUGUUUUUCAACUUAGUCGUUCUAUUGCACAUAGUUGAUGUCUUGCCUGUGAAAACUGCCACAAAUGAACGUGCAUUCAGCACAAUGAAUGAAGUAUCUAUGCCUACCAAAACUAUCUACGCUCUACGAUGCAUAAAACACGUCUUUGGUCUUAACGGAUUGAUCCUACUUUACGUGCAUCAUGGCAUCUAUAUGGAUUACGAUUAAGUAUUGUCAACAGGUUCGGGCGCAACAGCAGGCAUCUGAAGUUUCGGUGAUUGAAACUGGUUAUGUGGGUACACUGUAUGCAUCUGUGAGAAGGCUAUGAAGGCUGGUCUGAGGUAAUUUGGAUGAUGUUUACGCAUCUCGCGCUCCGGUAUCAAUCCGAUACGGUGAUCUGGUGCGUAGAUAUGCCACCGCCAAUAAACUUUUAUACAUCGACACCCAUGAGCCAAGCUUUCUGUACAGUUUGUGUGGUAGCGGCCCGACCAAACCUUAGGUAUUUUUUACACCUUCAAAUUUGGUAAAAGAGCGAGAGGAGCUUUGAACAGUGAUCGUAUAAAAGGCGUGCCUAAAAAGCGGAGGAAAAGGUUGUUUUCAAAAAUUUCGCGCGCCUUCGGCGCAGCAUUUCAAGAACACUUGACCUUUUGUGACCUGGAGUAUAAAGAAUACACACGAUGCAAAAUCAAUGCAGCACGACCUAUACGAGGUUACGCAAAAAAAAAACUGGUGGCAUGGUAAAAAACGCCUCCCAACCCCCCAACUCCCACUGAGCGAUUUUUUAUCUCGCGACCGUAUGGCGCCCUCCUUGGGUGAGGUGGCGCCCUCCAAACCCUUGGCCCCCCCCUUCGCGAUUUUCUAAAUACGCCGCUGCUUGUAUAAUAGGUCCGUCUGCUCCUUAUGAUGGGUUCCUAUAGCAGGUCUGGUCUUGCAACCAGCUGUGAUCAUUGAGCGUUACGCCCGUAAUAGGUUGUCCAGUGCUUGUUCUUAUGUGCAUGAAAUACAGGUUAACUUUGCUGUUC